RNAcentral lists this transfer RNA (94 nucleotides) under Kineosporia sp. NBRC 101731. RNAcentral's name for it is "tRNA-Thr". The record is from RNAcentral. Lineage: Bacteria; Bacillati; Actinomycetota; Actinomycetes; Kineosporiales; Kineosporiaceae.
GGCCGGUGGACGGGUGGACGAGGACGUCGACGGCGGUGUCGUCGACGAGAUCGUCGACCUGGUCGAGUGGCCGGUUCCGGUCCGGGGCAGCUUC